This 305-nucleotide ribosomal RNA is filed under the name uncultured bacterium. RNAcentral describes it as "bacterial SSU rRNA". It matches the Rfam family "Bacterial small subunit ribosomal RNA", at positions 28 to 334 of the family's 1533-position model. The record is from RNAcentral.
GACGAACGCUAGCGGCAGGCCUAAUACAUGCAAGUCGAACGGUAAGGUCUCUUCGGAGAUACACGAGUGGCGCACGGGUGCGUAACACGUAUGCAACCUACCUAUCAGAGAGGGAUAGUCGCGGGAAACUGCGAAUAAUACCUCAUAUGCUCACGGAUUGGCAUCGAUCUGUGAGGAAAGCUCCGGCGCUGAUAGAUGGGCAUGCGUCCCAUUAGUUAGUUGGUAAGGUAACGGCUUACCAAGACAUCGAUGGGUAGCUGGUCUGAGAGGACGAUCAGCCACACGGGCACUGAGACACGGGCCCG